Molecule: ribosomal RNA, 446 nt
Filed under: uncultured bacterium
Lineage: Bacteria
Description: partial 16S ribosomal RNA
Rfam family: Bacterial small subunit ribosomal RNA
Source: RNAcentral
CCUACGGGAGGCAGCAGUCGAGAAUCAUUCACAAUGGGGGAAACCCUGAUGGUGCGACGCCGCGUGGGGGAAUGCAGGUCUUCGGAUUGUAAACCCCUGUCAUGUGGGAGCAAAUUAAAAAGAUAGUACCACAAGAGGAAGAGACGGCUAACUCUGUGCCAGCAGCCGCGGUAAUACAGAGGUCUCAAGCGUUGUUCGGAAUCACUGGGCGUAAAGCGUGCGUAGGCUGUUUCGUAAGUCGUGUGUGAAAGGCGCGGGCUUAACCCGCGGACUGCACAUGAUACUGCGAGACUAGAGUGAUGGUGAGGGAGCCGGAAUGUUUGGUGUAGCAGUGAAAUGCGUAGAGAUCGAGAGGAACACUGAUUGCGAAGGCAGCUUCCUGGACAUUAACUGACGCUGAGGCACGAAGGCCAGGGGAGCGAAAGGGAUUAGAUACCCUUGUAGUC